This 498-nucleotide ribosomal RNA is filed under the name uncultured bacterium. RNAcentral describes it as "partial 16S ribosomal RNA". It matches the Rfam family "Bacterial small subunit ribosomal RNA", at positions 28 to 507 of the family's 1533-position model. The record is from RNAcentral.
GACGAACGCUGGCGGCGUGCCUAAUACAUGCAAGUCGAACGAGAGCGACCGGUGCUUGCACUGGUCAAUCUAGUGGCGAACGGGUGAGUAACACGUGGGUAACCUGCCCAUCAGAGGGGGAUAACAUCCGGAAACGGAUGCUAAAACCGCAUAGGUCUUCGAACCGCAUGGUUUGAAGAGGAAAAGAGGCGCAAGCUUCUGCUGAUGGAUGGACCCGCGGUGCAUUAGCUAGUUGGUGAGGUAACGGCUCACCAAGGCCGUGAUGCAUAGCCGACCUGAGAGGGUGAUCGGCCACAUUGGGACUGAGACACGGCCCAAACUCCUACGGGAGGCAGCAGUAGGGAAUCUUCCGCAAUGGACGCAAGACUGACGGAGCAACGCCGCGUGAGUGAAGAAGGUUUUCGGAUCGUAAAACUCUGUUGUUAGAGAAGAACAAGUGCUAGAGUAACUGUUAGCGCCUUGACGGUAUCUAACCAGAAAGCCACGGCUAACUACGUG